RNAcentral lists this ribosomal RNA (497 nucleotides) under uncultured bacterium. RNAcentral describes it as "partial 16S ribosomal RNA". It matches the Rfam family "Bacterial small subunit ribosomal RNA", at positions 28 to 507 of the family's 1533-position model. The record is from RNAcentral.
GAUGAACGCUGGCGGCGUGCCUAAUACAUGCAAGUCGAGCGAACGGACGAGAAGCUUGCUUCUCUGAUGUUAGCGGCGGACGGGUGAGUAACACGUGGAUAACCUACCUAUAAGACUGGGAUAACUUCGGGAAACCGUAGCUAAUACCGGAUAAUAUUUUGAACCGCAUGGUUCAAAAGUGAAAGACGGUCUUGCUGUCACUUAUAGAUGGAUCCGCGCUGCAUUAGCUAGUUGGUAAGGUAACGGCUUACCAAGGCAACGAUGCAUAGCCGACCUGAGAGGGUGAUCGGCCACACUGGAACUGAGACACGGACCAGACUCCUACGGGAGGCAGCAGUAGGGAAUCUUCCGCAAUGGGCGAAAGCCUGACGGAGCAGCGCCACGUGAGUGAUGAAGGUCUUCGGAUCGUAAAACUCUGUUAUUAGGGAAGAACAUAUGUGUAAGUAACUGUGCACAUCUUGACGGUACCUAAUCAGAAAGCCACGGCUAACUACGUG